RNAcentral lists this ribosomal RNA (504 nucleotides) under uncultured bacterium. Its description in RNAcentral is "bacterial SSU rRNA". It matches the Rfam family "Bacterial small subunit ribosomal RNA", at positions 28 to 524 of the family's 1533-position model. The record is from RNAcentral.
GAUGAACGCUAGCGACAGGCUUAACACAUGCAAGUCGAGGGGCAGCAUAAAAGUAGCAAUACUUUGGUGGCGACCGGCGCACGGGUGAGUAACGCGUAUGCAACCUACCUAUCAGAGGGGAAUAACCCGGCGAAAGUCGGACUAAUACCGCAUAAAACAGGGGCACCGCAUGGUGAUAUUUGUUAAAGAGAUUCGCUGAUAGAUGGGCAUGCGUUCCAUUAGGUAGUUGGUGAGGUAACGGCUCACCAAGCCGACGAUGGAUAGGGGAACUGAGAGGUUGGUCCCCCACACUGGUACUGAGACACGGACCAGACUCCUACGGGAGGCAGCAGUGAGGAAUAUUGGUCAAUGGGCGGGAGCCUGAACCAGCCAAGUCGCGUGAAGGAAGAAGGAUCUAUGGUUCGUAAACUUCUUUUGCAGGGGAAUAAAGUGCAGGACGUGUCCUGUUUUGUAUGUACCCUGAGAAUAAGGAUCGGCUAACUCCGUGCCAGCAGCCGCGGUAAA